UACGUAGGUGGCAAGCGUUGUCCGGAUUUACUGGGCGUAAAGCGCCCGCAGGCGGCUUGUUAAGUUCAAGGUGAAAUCUCCCGGCUCAACUGGGAGGGUGCCUCGAAAACUGGCAGGCUUGAGGUGAGGAGAGGGAUGCGGAAUUCCAGGUGUAGCGGUGAAAUGCGUAGAUAUUUGGAGGAACACCAGUGGCGAAGGCGGCAUCCUGGCCUUAUCCUGACGCUCAGGGGCGAAAGCGUGGGGAGCAAACCGG
RNAcentral lists this ribosomal RNA (253 nucleotides) under uncultured bacterium. RNAcentral describes it as "partial 16S ribosomal RNA". It matches the Rfam family "Bacterial small subunit ribosomal RNA", at positions 524 to 776 of the family's 1533-position model. The record is from RNAcentral.